This 97-nucleotide non-coding RNA is filed under the name Acetobacterium bakii. RNAcentral describes it as "SAM-I sequence". It matches the Rfam family "SAM riboswitch aptamer (S box leader)". Rfam says of the family: The SAM riboswitch is found upstream of a number of genes which code for proteins involved in methionine or cysteine biosynthesis in Gram-positive bacteria. The SAM riboswitch acts at the level of transcription termination control. Lineage: Bacteria; Bacillati; Bacillota; Clostridia; Eubacteriales; Eubacteriaceae. The record is from Rfam by way of RNAcentral.
UACCUAUCCAGAGAGGUGGAGGGACAGGCCCUAUGAAACCCGGCAACCAGCGAAAGCAUGGUGCCAAUACCGGCGAAUAUUUUCGCAAUGAUGGGGU